AAGGAAGCUUUUCCCAAUCAAGUAGUUGAGAUUAUAGAUCCCAUUCUACUUCAAGAGAAUGUUAGAGAAGGAAUAAUCACAGACAUCACUCGCAAUGCAAACCGUAUGGGAAAUGAGAGCCACCUUCAUUGUUUGAAUUCAAUAUUCGAAAUAGGACUUACUUGUUCUGCUGAAUCACCGAGUGAGCGGACAGACAUGAGUGAUGUUGUUACCAAGCUUUGUUCUAUUCUAGACAAGCUUCUUCGUCCAACUCGAUUACGACAUGGGAUGCGAACUCCAUACACUGCUCAAUCAGCAGGUAUCUAAGGUGUGGUAUGGAUGAUCUUGGGAGGCUUAGUCUGCCAAAAUGCUUGCUUUUCUCUUAUGUUCACAUUCUGCUUUGAGAAAAGAUAAUGAGUUUUUCCAGUGUAAUUUGGGUUUAUAUU
Hibiscus syriacus is the source of this 425-nucleotide long non-coding RNA. RefSeq lists it as uncharacterized. The transcript has 3 exons. The record is from RefSeq and is a predicted model, not a curated record. Lineage: Eukaryota; Viridiplantae; Streptophyta; Magnoliopsida; Malvales; Malvaceae.